GGGAAUUUGGUCUAGGGGUAUGAUUCCUGCUUCGGGUGCAGGAGGUCGGGGGUUCGAGUCCCCCAAUUCCCC
This is a transfer RNA of Coccomyxa subellipsoidea C-169, 72 nucleotides long. It matches the Rfam family "tRNA". From Rfam's summary of the family: Transfer RNA (tRNA) molecules are approximately 80 nucleotides in length. Their secondary structure includes four short double-helical elements and three loops (D, anti-codon, and T loops). Further hydrogen bonds mediate the characteristic L-shaped molecular structure. tRNAs have two regions of fundamental functional importance: the anti-codon, which is responsible for specific mRNA codon recognition, and the 3' end, to which the tRNAs corresponding amino acid is attached (by aminoacyl-tRNA synthetases). tRNAs cope with the degeneracy of the genetic code in two manners: having more than one tRNA (with a specific anti-codon) for a particular amino acid; and 'wobble' base-pairing, i.e. permitting non-standard base-pairing at the 3rd anti-codon position. The record is from Rfam. Lineage: Eukaryota; Viridiplantae; Chlorophyta; Trebouxiophyceae; Coccomyxaceae.